Small nuclear RNA from Peromyscus leucopus (white-footed mouse), 103 nucleotides. The record is from RefSeq and is a predicted model, not a curated record. Lineage: Eukaryota; Metazoa; Chordata; Mammalia; Rodentia; Cricetidae.
GCCCUUUGGGAACACAUAUAUUAAAACUAGAACAAAACAGAGGAGACUAGCAUGGCCCCUUCUCAAGGAUGACAUGCAAAUUCGUGAAGCAUUCCAUACUUUU